RNAcentral lists this ribosomal RNA (464 nucleotides) under uncultured bacterium. RNAcentral's name for it is "bacterial SSU rRNA". It matches the Rfam family "Bacterial small subunit ribosomal RNA", at positions 338 to 794 of the family's 1533-position model. The record is from RNAcentral.
CCUACGGGCCGCACCAGUGGGGAAUAUUGCACAAUGGGCGCAAGCCUGAUGCAGCCACGCCGCGUGUAUGAAGAAGGCCUUCGGGUUGUAAAGUACUUUCAGCGGGGAGGAAGGCGAUAAGGUUAAUAACCUUGUCGAUUGACGUUACCCGCAGAAGAAGCACCGGCUAACUCCGUGCCAGCAGCCGCGGUAAUACGGAGGGUGCAAGCGUUAAUCGGAAUUACUGGGCGUAAAGCGCACGCAGGCGGUCUGUCAAGUCGGAUGUGAAAUCCCCGGGCUCAACCUGGGAACUGCAUUCGAAACUGGCAGGCUAGAGUCUUGUAAAGGGGGGUAGAAUUCCAGGUGUAGCGGUGAAAUGCGUAGAGAUCUGGAGGAAUACCGGUGGCGUAGGCGGCCCCCUGGACAAAGACUGACGCUCAGGUGCGAAAGCGUGGGGAGCAAACAGGAUUAGAUACCCUCGUAGU